GCGAACGGGCGAAGCUUCGUUAAUAGCUCUGAGGGUGUGUUAGGCAAGGUCUCAUAGCGUGUACCGGAGAUGUGGAGGAGGAGGUGUUGAGGAGGUGUGAGUGUAAGCGGUGGUGUAAUUCAUGUGAUGGAGAUGGAGGUGUAUAGGCUGGAAGGUGGAUUGAUUGUGGACAUGGGUGUGUUAGGCAAGGUCUCAUAGCGUGUACCGGAGAUGUGGAGGAGGAGGUGUUGAGGAGGUGUGAGUGUAAGCGGUGGUGUGAUAAAGGUGAUGGAGAUGGAGGUGUAUAGGAUGGAAGGUGGAUUGAUACGGAACAGGUAUGGACAGGUAUUGUGGAUAGCGGUGGUGGUGGUGAUGGAGAGGUGGUUUGAUUGUAGACAGGUGGUGGUGGUGGUGGUACAGGUGGUGAUAUAUGCCGGAAGGUAGUUUAAGACAGGUAUUGAAGGUACAGGUGUGAUGGGCAAGGUGGUAUAGCAAAGACAGGUAUAGGUAAGGUGGUUCAGGUAAAUGUGGAUGUGACGAGGUGUGCAUAUAGAUGGCAGAUGUGAAGGCAGGGAUUUGGGUUUGCUUGGGUAUGUAAAGAGGGAAGGAGAGAGGAAGGGAGGGAGGGAGUGUACGGAGGAAUGUGGAGUUUGCUUUGGUGUGGAGGGAGGGAGGGAAGAAGGAGGGAGGAGGUGGAGGUCUAGAUGAAGGCUGUAAGGGGUGUGGGUGUGGAUGAGGAAUGUGAGGAAAGUUUAAAGGGGUGGAGGAGGAGGAUAUGACGUGGAGGACUGAUAAGAUGUGGGAAUAACGGGAAGAGAAGAAAGAAUGUGGAUUAAGAGAAAUAUAAAAAACGAUUGACGAAGGAAAGGAGAAGAGGGUACUGGAUGGAUAAAAAGAGAGAAAAUAGGAGGAAUGUGUAGAAGUGAUUGCUUUAGAAAGUAAGAAAAGACGAAGGUGGAGACGGAGAAAAUGAGAGAGAAUAAGAUAUAAUGGAAAACGAAGCGAUAAGAAAGGUAAAAAUAAGGAACAGGACGGAAAAAAAGAGGAAUAGAUGUGAUGGAGGUGGAGAUGUAGGAGGAGGAUAAGGAUGUAUAAGGUGUGUGAGAAGCAGAUGUAUUAGGGAAACAAACGAAUAAGCGAAUGCACCAAAGCGAUACAGGGGAGGAAGAAGAACACAUCCCGAAGACAGACAGGGAAGAAGUAUGUUGUGUCGCGAAGGAUCAAGGGAUUGGCAGACAUUUUAGGACCAUUUCAUUGUGGUCCAGAAAAGUUCAUAACAGUUCACGAAGAAAAUGGAAAUGGUGUCAGGAAGGAACAAGGGAUUGGCAGACAUUUUAGGAGCAUUUCAUUGUGGUCCAGAAAAUUCAUAAUAGUUCACGAAGAAAAUGGAAAUGGUGUCAGGAAGGAUCAAGGGAUUGGCAGACAUUUUAGGAGCAUUUCAUUGUGGUCCAGAAAGUUCAUAAUAGUUCACGAAGAAAAUGGAAAUAUCUGUGUAGUGUCAGGAAAGAACAAGGGAUUGGAAGACAUUUUAUGAGCAUUUUAUUGUAUUCCAGAAAGUUCAUGAUAGUUUACGAAGAAAGUGAAAAUAUAUGUGUCAACAAGGCAAUAUUUGGAUAGAGACAAAAAUACAAAACAAAAGACAAAAAUAUGAAGGAAAAACAUACACAAGACAAAUAAAAAUAGGAAUAGGAAGGUUCAUCAAGGUUGUAUAAAUGAAAGACAGAGUAAAUAAGACAUAAUAGGAAAUGCUAAUAAAUAUAGAAGCAAUUAAAAUAUAGUAGUGUUAGAUAAAUUACCACACGGAAGCGUUCUCCUUAUUAAUUUCACACACUUAAUUUUUUUUGUCAGUCUGCUCAUGCUCUCUACAAACAGAUUAUCCACACACACAAAAAAAAUAAAUCCCGCUCAAAACGAAGAUUAAAGAGUGGUAACCGUUCAUUCAAUUCGUCUCCGGUAUGAUAUAAAAAUGAACUCUACUUAUUCGGUGCAUCAAAAUAUAGAUCGUUAUUACGUAUACCCAACCAAGGUGUUCAUUAUGUUAUCUUACCUAUACCUGUAAUUUGCGUGUACCUGUGUAUUUACCUGUGGUGUGUGUGUGCGUGUGUGUGUGUGUGUGUGUGUGUGUGUGUGUGUGUGUGCGCUCAUGGUCAAUUUGCCUUAUUUGGGGAAAGAGAGAGAGAGAGAGAGAGAGAGAGAGAGAGAGAGAGAGAGAGAGAGAGAGAGAGAGAGAGAGAGAGAGAAAGGCACGUAAAUUAGUUACAUGAAUCAUCUCACUUUGCCUCAAAUAAAGAAACUACUGUGUGUAAAUGUGUGUGUGUGUGUGUGUGUGUGUGUGUGUGUGUGUGUGUGUGUGUGUGUGUGUGUGUGUGUGUGUGUGUGUGU
Long non-coding RNA from Eriocheir sinensis (Chinese mitten crab), 2361 nucleotides. RefSeq lists it as uncharacterized. NCBI's taxonomy places the organism in Eukaryota, Metazoa, Arthropoda, Malacostraca, Decapoda, Varunidae. The transcript is spliced from 2 exons. The record is from RefSeq and is a predicted model, not a curated record.